AGCUUUGUGCAGUGGCAGUAUCGUAGCCAAUGAGGUUUAUCCGAGGCAUGGUUAUUGCUAAAACAAACAAGUAAACUAUAUAUAUAUAUCCAUCCUAUAAAAGCUUUGAUUAAAG
Molecule: small nuclear RNA, 115 nt
Filed under: Myotis brandtii (Brandt's bat)
Lineage: Eukaryota; Metazoa; Chordata; Mammalia; Chiroptera; Vespertilionidae
Description: U4 spliceosomal RNA
Rfam family: U4 spliceosomal RNA
About the family: U4 small nuclear RNA (U4 snRNA) is a component of the major U2-dependent spliceosome. The structure of U4 snRNA from yeast and human has been reported.
Source: Rfam by way of RNAcentral